Molecule: ribosomal RNA, 567 nt
Filed under: Russula sp.
Lineage: Eukaryota; Fungi; Basidiomycota; Agaricomycetes; Russulales; Russulaceae
Description: SSU rRNA
Rfam family: Bacterial small subunit ribosomal RNA
Source: RNAcentral
UCAGCAGUCCCAAAAUAUUAGUCAAUGCUCGAAAGAGUGAACUAGCUAACUGAAAUCAAUUAAAAAUAAUAAUUGAUAACAUAAGGGAAAAUAAUGAUAUUACCUUAUUAUUAGUGUCGUCCAAAACUGGUGCCAGAAGACUCGGUAAGGCCAGAGACAUAAACGUUAAUCGUCUUAAUCAGGCGUAAAGGGUUUGUAGGCGGCUUUAAAAUUUACUAAUAAACACAAAUUAUAAGUAAAGAAUAAAAGCUAGAAUCAAAUAGAGGAUAUAUGAAAGAAUGCUUAGAGUAGGUCCGAUAUCCUUAGAUACUAAGUAGAAUAUUAAAGGCGAAAGCUUUUUUCCAUUAAUGAUUGACGCUCAGAAACGAAGGUGAGGAUAGGAAAUAGGAUUAGAUACCCAGAAUACCCCUCUCUGUCAACGAUGAAUGGUAGUUAUUAGUAUAAAUUUAUUAAUGGCAAUGUUAACACGAUAACCAUUCCGCCUUGUGAGUACAACUGCAAAGUUGAAAACAAAAAAAUUAGUCGGUUUCGGAGCAAACGAAGUGAAGCAUGUUAUUUAAUUCAAUU